This 253-nucleotide ribosomal RNA is filed under the name uncultured bacterium. RNAcentral describes it as "partial 16S ribosomal RNA". It matches the Rfam family "Bacterial small subunit ribosomal RNA", at positions 524 to 776 of the family's 1533-position model. The record is from RNAcentral.
GACGUAGGGGACGAGCGUUGUCCGGAUUCAUUGGGCGUAAAGCGCGCGUAGGCGGUUGCGCAAGUCGGUUGUGAAAAUCCGGGGCUCAACCCCGGACCUGCAUCCGAUACUGCGUGACUAGAGGUAGGUAGGGGAGAUCGGAAUUCCUGGUGUAGCGGUGAAAUGCGCAGAUAUCAGGAGGAACACCGGUGGCGAAGGCGGAUCUCUGGGCCUUACCUGACGCUCAGGUGCGAAAGCUAGGGGAGCGAACAGG